UGAGUUAAAGAUGAUGUGUAUUUGAUACCUUUCACUAUGACUGAAUUGGCAUUAAUCAAGUUAAAGCAGGGAGAUGGUGUAACUGCUAAAGAACUCUUGGAACCAGCUCGUAUAGAUCAGAAAUAUCAAGCAUUGUUAACAAGGAAUUAUUUAACAUGAAUAGGUAUUGAAAGAGG
This is a non-coding RNA of Parasteatoda tepidariorum (common house spider), 176 nucleotides long. NCBI's taxonomy places the organism in Eukaryota, Metazoa, Arthropoda, Arachnida, Araneae, Theridiidae. The record is from RefSeq and is a predicted model, not a curated record.